This 75-nucleotide transfer RNA is filed under the name candidate division WWE3 bacterium CG_4_9_14_3_um_filter_34_6. RNAcentral describes it as "tRNA-Met". It matches the Rfam family "tRNA". From Rfam's summary of the family: Transfer RNA (tRNA) molecules are approximately 80 nucleotides in length. Lineage: Bacteria; candidate division WWE3. The record is from RNAcentral.
GGCGGUGUAGCUCAGGGGUAGAGCGCAGCCCUCAUAAAGCUGUUGUCGGUGGUUCAAAUCCACCCACCGCCACCA